Molecule: non-coding RNA, 128 nt
Filed under: Corynebacterium sp.
Lineage: Bacteria; Bacillati; Actinomycetota; Actinomycetes; Mycobacteriales; Corynebacteriaceae
Also listed under: 1 other name
Description: TPP sequence
Rfam family: TPP riboswitch aptamer (THI element)
About the family: Vitamin B(1) in its active form thiamin pyrophosphate (TPP) is an essential coenzyme that is synthesised by coupling of pyrimidine and thiazole moieties in bacteria. The previously detected thiamin-regulatory element, thi box was extended, resulting in a new, highly conserved RNA secondary structure, the THI element, which is widely distributed in eubacteria and also occurs in some archaea. Analysis of operon structures identified a large number of new candidate thiamin-regulated genes, mostly transporters, in various prokaryotic organisms.
Source: RNAcentral
ACAAGAAACCACGGGAGUGCGCGCGCCGCGCACUGAGAGGCCCCAGCGCAGAACGCGCAUGGAACGAGGGGCGACCGUUUGAACCUGUCCGGGUCAUGCCGGCGAAGGGAAGGAGCCUUUUCAUCAUG